CGGGGGGCAGCAGUGGGGAAUCUUGCACAAUGGGCGAAAGCCUGAUGCAGCAACGCCGCGUGAGGGACGAAGGCUUUCUGAGUUGUAAACCUCUUUCAGCAGGGACGAUUGUGACGGUACCUGCAGAAGAAGCCCCGGCCAACUACGUGCCAGCAGCCGCGGUAAUACGUAGGGGGCAAGCGUUGUCCGGAUUUAUUGGGCGUAAAGAGCUCGUAGGCGGCUUGGCAAGUCGGAUGUGAAACCUCCAGGCUCAACCUGGAGUCGCCAUUCGAUACUGCCAUGGCUAGAGUUUGGUAGGGGACCACGGAAUUCCUGGUGUAGCGGUGAAAUGCGCAGAUAUCAGGAGGAACACCAGCGGCGAAGGCGGUGGUCUGGGCCAAUACUGACGCUGAGGAGCGAAAGCGUGGGGAGCGAACAGGAUUAGAUACCCGAGU
RNAcentral lists this ribosomal RNA (434 nucleotides) under uncultured Acidimicrobiales bacterium. Its description in RNAcentral is "bacterial SSU rRNA". It matches the Rfam family "Bacterial small subunit ribosomal RNA", at positions 342 to 791 of the family's 1533-position model. The record is from RNAcentral. Lineage: Bacteria; Bacillati; Actinomycetota; Acidimicrobiia; Acidimicrobiales.